AACCGUAUAGGGGAGCCGGAGGGAAACCGAGUCUUAACCGGGCGUUAAGUUGCAGGGUAUAGACCCGAAACCCGGUGAUCUAGCCAUGGGCAGGUUGAAGGUUGGGUAACACUAACUGGAGGACCGAACCGACUAAUGUUGAAAAAUUAGCGGAUGACCUGUGGCUGGGGGUGAAAGGCCAAUCAAACCGGGAGAUAGCUGGUUCUCCCCGAAAGCUAUUUAGGUAGCGCCUCGUGAAUUCAUCUCCGGGGGUAGAGCACUGUUUCGGCUAGGGGGCCAUCCCGGCUUACCAACCCGAUGCAAACUGCGAAUACCGGAGAAUGUUAUCACGGGAGACACACGGCGGGUGCUAACGUCCGUCGUGAAGAGGGAAACAACCCAGACCGCCAGCUAAGGUCCCAAAGUCAUGGUUAAGUGGGAAACGAUGUGGGAAGGCCCAGACAGCCAGGAUGUUGGCUUAGAAGCAGCCAUCAUUUAAAGAAAGCGUAAUAGCUCACUGGUCGAGUCGGCCUGCGCGGAAGAUGUAACGGGGCUAAACCAUGCACCGAAGCUGCGGCAGCGAACGUAUCACCCAAGACAACUUUACGGAGUUGACGAUUGACGGAGCGAAGCGACGUCAAAGCGUUCAUUAAAGUCGAGUUGGCUUAGGGAUACGUUCGUUGGGUAGGGGAGCGUUCUGUAAGCCUGUGAAGGUGUGUCGUGAGGCAUGCUGGAGGUAUCAGAAGUGCGAAUGCUGACAUAAGUAACGAUAAAGCGGGUGAAAAGCCCGCUCGCCGGAAGACCAAGGGUUCCUGUCCAACGUUAAUCGGGGCAGGGUGAGUCGACCCCUAAGGCGAGGCCGAAAGGCGUAGUCGAUGGGAAACGGGUUAAUAUUCCCGUACUUGGUGUUACUGCGAAGGGGGGACGGAGAAGGCUAUGUUGGCCGGGCGACGGUUGUCCCGAUUUAAGCGUGUAGGUGUGUGUUCCAGGUAAAUCCGGUUCACUUUAACACUGAGGCGUGACGACGAGGCACUACGGUGCUGAAGCAACAAAUGCCCUGCUUCCAGGAAAAGCCUCUAA
Molecule: ribosomal RNA, 1059 nt
Filed under: Salmonella enterica
Lineage: Bacteria; Pseudomonadati; Pseudomonadota; Gammaproteobacteria; Enterobacterales; Enterobacteriaceae
Description: partial 23S ribosomal RNA
Rfam family: Bacterial large subunit ribosomal RNA
Source: RNAcentral